UACGUAGGGUGCAAGCGUUAAUCGGAAUUACUGGGCGUAAAGCGUGCGCAGGCGGUCUUGCAAGACAGAUGUGAAAUCCCCGGGCUCAACCGGGGAACUGCGUCUGAGACUGAUGAGCUUGAGUCCGGUAGAGGAGCAGGGAAUUCCUGGUGUAGCGGUGAAAUGCGCAGAUAUCAGGAGGAACACCAGCGGCGAAGGCGCUGCUCUGGGCCGGUACUGACGCUGAGGAGCGAAAGCGUGGGGAGCGAACAGG
This 253-nucleotide ribosomal RNA is filed under the name uncultured bacterium. RNAcentral's name for it is "partial 16S ribosomal RNA". It matches the Rfam family "Bacterial small subunit ribosomal RNA", at positions 524 to 776 of the family's 1533-position model. The record is from RNAcentral.